This 3085-nucleotide long non-coding RNA is filed under the name Sus scrofa (pig). RNAcentral describes it as "lncRNA (ENSSSCG00025007810.1, ENSSSCG00035031717.1, ENSSSCG00045019611.1, ENSSSCG00065043183.1)". The record is from RNAcentral. Lineage: Eukaryota; Metazoa; Chordata; Mammalia; Artiodactyla; Suidae.
AUCUGUAAAUGUACUGAUUAACAUUAAGGUUUACAUCCUCCUAAAAGCAAUCAUCUAUUACUUUUAAUAUAUGAAGAAAUAGUAAUCUAUUACCAGGGCAAUGGAUAUUGGAUUUAAAAGGAAUAUAGACGAAAUCAUGAAAUUAAAAAGUCAAAUGUAUGUAUCAGUGGGUGUAUAUGUACAUAAACUGAAACUCAGGACCCAAGUGAGAAAAAAGUCCCUCAGUCUGUCAUUUGCACUUUCAAAGCAGUGACGUGCUAUAACCCACUUGCACCAUCUUUCAAGGACCAAUUGUAUGCACCAAAUCCUAACUUCAACCUGAGGAUCUGAUGUUGGUAGUUUGAAAUAGACCAGGGAGUAUCAACAAAUACUACAAAUCAGGGCUCUACUCCCACCCUAACCCCUAGCCAGUUGUUUAACAUUUACCAGCACACAACUGAUUGAAAGGGAGCAUUUUGGUCAUAUUUUCUAAAUCAAAUAAUUCUUCAUUUGCCCUUACCAUUGUCAUAUUUUAUAUAAUUGAAGAUAAAACUAUUAUAUCUGCAAUGAAAAUUCAUGAAUAAAUACAAUGUAAAGUAUCUGAUUUUAGUAUAACUUCACUAGAGGAAACAUAUCUAUAUACCAAAAGAUAUGGAAAGCUACUUUCCUAAAUAUUUAGUAGUAUUAGACAACGAGCAUGUUUAGAGUCAUGAAAGUGUUACAACAGAUUUGGAACUGCCAUUAAAAUCUCUACAAUCUUGGGCGAGUCACCUAGGCCCCUAGACACCAUUCCUCUAUAUUUGUAAACUAAAGAUGUCAGCUUAAACAACUUCUAUUCAUUCUGUUUAAUAUUAUAGGAUCUUUGUGAUGAUACCAAGGAGUCUUCACUUACCUCCAUACAGGUCAAUUUUUCCUGUCUUUUUAUAGGGGGAAAUAGCAGUCAGGAUGGCUUAUGGAGAAUUCAAUAGCCCCUUUGGAGUCUCAGGUAUUUUUUAUUUGCUCUUCCUAUAUUAUCAAGAAUUCUUCUUUUCUGUAUGUUAACUAUUCACAAAGGUAAAUGGGUAGCACACUAAACCAACUGCAUUCUGAGCAACAGCAUCCUUAGUUCCAGUUAAGAUAAACUAUAUCCAAUCCAAAAUUGUUUUUUAUAAUCUGGGUAGGCUAUUUCAAAAGAAAUAAGCCACCUAUGUACACACUGGUAGUUAAUGCACAAUGUCACCAGAUGAGAUUUUUGAUAUGAUGCAAAUAUUUAAAAUGCUGAUCAUUUUUCAAGGAUUCUAAGUAAAUAUCAUCAAAGAGAUACAAAGCAAGUAAGUUAUCAGCUAUUCAGAAACAAAUUUUUUCUUUGGUCUUUUUGCCAUUUCUUGGGCAGCUCCCGUGGCAUAUGGAGGUUCCCAGGCUAAGGGUCCAACCGGAGCUGUAGCCGCCUGCGCCACAGCCACAGCAACGCCGGGAUCUGAGCUGCGUCUGCGACCUAUACUACAGCUCACUUCAACGCUUGAUCCCUAACCCACUGAGCAAGGCCAGAGAUCAAACCCGCAACCUCAUGGUUCCUAGUCGGAUUCGUUAACCAUUGAGCCACUACAGGAACUCCAGAAACAAAUAUUUAUAAAACUAAUUGAUUUAAUAUUUCUGAAUCUGAUAUUAUAUACUUUUGAGAGAAAUGCUUUUCAACAGGCAAGCAAAAAAGCAAACAUUCAAGUGCUAAAGAUAAAAUACUAGUACAUGAAUAAAUUGGUUUAGGCCAUCUCCUUAUUUAGUGAUAAUUCAUGAUAAUUUAUGGCAAAUCAUUACUAUAAAACAGGUAGGAUUCUUACUUAAAUUAAAAAUCCAAAAUAAAGACAUAAAGUCAAAAAUAAGUACUAAGUAACUGCCAGUCUCCUAUGUAAGGACAGUUCUGAGGAAUGAUUCAUAGUAUAUAUGUUCCAAUGGUGGAAAGUAUAGAUAAUGUGAUGUGGAUCAAUUUAAAAUGUUUCCAAAACAUUUAAUGUUAAUACCAUGUUAAUAACAUGCUAAUACCAUGUCUGUGCCAGGAACUUAGCUAUGGAUACUAUUUUAAAUCAUCUACCUAUAAUGCAAAACAUAUUUGCAAGGCCAUUUUUCAGCCAUAUGCUAAAACUACAGCCACUCACUUUUAUUUGCCUGUUUAAUAAGAAUGGAUUUAGGUAUUGAAAAAAUAGUUUAUCAUAGUUCUAGCUUUGAUAAGCAUUCCACUUCUUUAAACUGCAUGUUUAUUAUAAUAAUAGUUACAACUGAAAUAAAGAAGUUUAUAAUCAAAAUAUGCCUCAUUUUAUAACAUUAUGUAAUCUAAAAUAAUUAUAGUGAUUAAUAAUGAUUUCUAACAUUGAAAAUGUAUGUGCCAAGCACUGUUUGUAUCUUUACACAUAUUCACUUUAUUUAUUCUCAAUUUUAUGAGGUAGGUACUAUUACUGUCCCAUUUUCCAAAAGAGAAAUAUGAUGCUGAAAUGAGUUAGAUAAUUUGCACAAGAUCACACAGCUUAAAUUCCUAUUUGCUUAUAUGACUCUAGAGUCAUGCUGCCCAAUAAGGGAAACAAAUGCCCCAUGUGGCUACUGAGCACUUGAAAUGUGGUGUGUCCAGAUACUGCGAAAGUAAAACACAAAUGGGAGGUGCAUGUAUCUUUUUGAAUUACAGUUUUGUCCAGGUAUUUGUCCAGGAGUUAGGAUUGCUGGGUCAUAUGGUAGUUCUAUAUUUAGUUUUCUGAGGAACCCCAUACUGUUUUCCAGUAUAUACAUAUGACUGGGUCACCAUGCUGUACAGCAGAAACUGGCACAACACUGUAAAUCAACUAUACUUUAAGAACAAAAUAAUGCCAUUUGCAGCAAUAUGGAUGGAAGUAAAGACUUUCAUCCUGAGUGAAGUAAGUUAGAAAGAGAAAGACAAAUACCAUAUGAUACCACUUAUAUCUGGAAUAUAAUAUACGGCACAAAGGAACCUUUCCACAGAAAAGAAAAUCUUCGACUUGAAGAAUAGACUUGUGGUUGCCAAAGGGGAAGGGGAGGGGGUGGGAGGGACUAGGAUCUUGGGGUAAAUAGAUGCAGAAUGUUGCCUUCAGGAUGGAUUAGCAAUGGGAUCCUGCUGUGUAGC